RNAcentral lists this ribosomal RNA (400 nucleotides) under uncultured bacterium. RNAcentral's name for it is "bacterial SSU rRNA". It matches the Rfam family "Bacterial small subunit ribosomal RNA", at positions 356 to 773 of the family's 1533-position model. The record is from RNAcentral.
GGGGAAUAUUGGACAAUGGGCGCAAGCCUGAUCCAGCCAUGCCGCGUGAGUGACGAAGGCCUUAGGGUUGUAAAGCUCUUUUGUCGGGGACGAUAAUGACGGUACCCGAAGAAUAAGCUCCGGCUAACUUCGUGCCAGCAGCCGCGGUAAUACGAAGGGAGCUAGCGUUGUUCGGAAUCACUGGGCGUAAAGCGCACGUAGGCGGAUCGCUAAGUCAGGGGUGAAAUCCCGGGGCUCAACCUCGGAACUGCCUUUGAUACUGGCGAUCUCGAGUCCGGAAGAGGUGAGUGGAAUUCCUAGUGGAGAGGUGAAAUUCGUAGAUAUUAGGAAGAACACCAGUGGCGAAGGCGGCUCACUGGUCCGGUACUGACGCUGAGGUGCGAAAGCGUGGGGAGCAAAC